CGCCUAUUGAACAUAUAAUAGGUCCAUCCUGCCCAGUGAAUUAAUUUUCAACGGCCGCGGUAUCCUGACCGUGCAAAGGUAGCAUAAUCAUUUGCCUUUUAAUUGAAGGCUAGUAUGAAAGGACACACAAGAAUAAUACUGUCUCAUUUGGGUUAUCUUAAAACUGAUUUUUAGGUGAAGAAGCCUAAAUUUCCAUAAAGGACAAGAAGACCCUAUAGAGCUUUAUCAGUAAAAGUUAUUAAACUCCCCUACUGAUUUGGUUGGGACAACCAAAAGACAAUUAUACCUCUUUUUUUAAAAAUAUAACCCACACCCAUAACUGAAUUAGAAUUUCAAGCUACCUUAGGGAUAACAGGCUAAUCCCACUAGAGAGACCACAUUGACAGUGGGGAUUGGCACCUCGAUGUUGGCUUAGUGUUACCAUUAGGCGCAGCCGCUUAAUUGAGUUGGUUUGUUCAACCAUUAAAUCACU
RNAcentral lists this ribosomal RNA (472 nucleotides) under Perinereis brevicirris. RNAcentral's name for it is "partial 16S ribosomal RNA". It matches the Rfam family "Bacterial large subunit ribosomal RNA", at positions 1831 to 2597 of the family's 2925-position model. Lineage: Eukaryota; Metazoa; Annelida; Polychaeta; Phyllodocida; Nereididae. The record is from RNAcentral.